Molecule: transfer RNA, 69 nt
Filed under: Sphaerodactylus townsendi
Lineage: Eukaryota; Metazoa; Chordata; Lepidosauria; Squamata; Sphaerodactylidae
Description: tRNA-Ala
Rfam family: tRNA
About the family: Transfer RNA (tRNA) molecules are approximately 80 nucleotides in length. Their secondary structure includes four short double-helical elements and three loops (D, anti-codon, and T loops).
Source: RNAcentral
GGUGUAGCUCAAUUGUACAGUAUCUGUUUGGCAUGGAGAAGGGCCCAGGUUCCAUCCCUGGCAUAUCCA